This 713-nucleotide ribosomal RNA is filed under the name Salmonella enterica. RNAcentral's name for it is "partial 23S ribosomal RNA". The record is from RNAcentral. Lineage: Bacteria; Pseudomonadati; Pseudomonadota; Gammaproteobacteria; Enterobacterales; Enterobacteriaceae.
GGUUAAGCGACUAAGCGUACACGGUGGAUGCCCUGGCAGUCAGAGGCGAUGAAGGGCGUGCUAAUCUGCGAUAAGCGCCGGUAAGGUGAUAUGAACCGUUAUAACCGGCGAUACCCGAAUGGGGAAACCCAGUGUGAYUCGUCACACUAUCAUUAACUGAAUCCAUAGGUUAAUGAGGCGAACCGGGGGAACUGAAACAUCUAAGUACCCCGAGGAAAAGAAAUCAACCGAGAUUCCCCCAGUAGCGGCGAGCGAACGGGGAGGAGCCCAGAGCCUGAAUCAGCAUGUGUGUUAGUGGAAGCGUCUGGAAAGGCGCGCGAUACAGGGUGACAGCCCCGUACACAAAAGCGCAUGUGCUGUGAGCUCGAUGAGUAGGGCGGGACACGUGGUAUCCUGUCUGAAUAUGGGGGGACCAUCCUCCAAGGCUAAAUACUCCUGACUGACCGAUAGUGAACCAGUACCGUGAGGGAAAGGCGAAAAGAACCCCGGCGAGGGGAGUGAAAAAGAACCUGAAACCGUGUACGUACAAGCAGUGGGAGCUGAAGGUUGGGUAACACUAACUGGAGGACCGAACCGACUAAUGUUGAAAAAUUAGCGGAUGACCUGUGGCUGGGGGUGAAAGGCCAAUCAAACCGGGAGAUAGCUGGUUCUCCCCGAAAGCUAUUUAGGUAGCGCCUCGUGAAUUCAUCUCCGGGGGUAGAGCACUGUUUCGG